GAAAGAAAUGUCGGCAAGCGCCUCGGAGAUGGGUACUGCAGCGAAAUGCUAUGGACCUAAACUGCAUCCAGUUGGGGCGGAAAUAUUUUUAACAUUGGAAAGAAAUGUCGGCAAGCGCCUCGGAGAUGGGUACUGCAGCGAAAUGCUAUGGACCUAAACUGCAUCCAGUUGGGGCGGAAAUAUUUUGAACAUUGGAAAGAAAUGUCGGCAAGCGC
Molecule: long non-coding RNA, 215 nt
Organism: Ornithodoros turicata
Lineage: Eukaryota; Metazoa; Arthropoda; Arachnida; Ixodida; Argasidae
Exons: 3
Source: RefSeq, a predicted model, not a curated record